Prionailurus viverrinus (fishing cat) is the source of this 151-nucleotide long non-coding RNA. RefSeq lists it as uncharacterized. The record is from RefSeq and is a predicted model, not a curated record. Lineage: Eukaryota; Metazoa; Chordata; Mammalia; Carnivora; Felidae. The transcript is spliced from 3 exons.
CAUAAAUGCAGCCAGUCCCAUGACUGGGUCCGUAAGCUACAUGACGAGGGGGGGAUGAAAGGGCGGGCCUACACCGGCCGACUCCAUCUUGUUCUGUGUCCUUCACCUUGACCACACCUCCUCCCCUUGAGUCCAUGCUUGUUCUGUCUCC